GUGCUCGCUUCAGCAUUAUAUAUGAUAACAUUAUAACAAUACAGAGAAGAUUAGCAUGACCCCUGCACAAGGAUGACAUAAAAUUUAGGAAGUAUUCCAUUUCUUU
RNAcentral lists this small nuclear RNA (106 nucleotides) under Aotus nancymaae (Ma's night monkey). The record is from RNAcentral. Lineage: Eukaryota; Metazoa; Chordata; Mammalia; Primates; Aotidae.